This 1081-nucleotide long non-coding RNA is filed under the name Mus pahari (shrew mouse). RNAcentral describes it as "lncRNA (MGP_PahariEiJ_G0004599.1)". The record is from RNAcentral. Lineage: Eukaryota; Metazoa; Chordata; Mammalia; Rodentia; Muridae.
AGAGUUACCUGAGCUGCGCCGAGCGCGCGUAUCCCUGGAAAUAGCGGAGGCGCGCGAACAGGUAGAACAGUCCGCACAGGGCUGCGGCGCCUGCGAGAUUCGAGGCGAGGCGGCGCGGUGAGCACGAGCUCCCGCCAUCCGGGAUCACCGCCCCCCCAACCCCCCGAGUGUGCCCCCACGCUGCCCCGCACCUUCGUGGAAGAAGAUGCCGGCGACCCAGAGUGUGGCGAGGAACAGCGGAAAGUACUCGCUGCAGUUUACCCUGCGAGGGGUGGGCUGGGUGAGCGCGUGGCCCGCCUUGGCUGACACCCGAACCCGCCCGGACCCGCCGCGCUCACUGGGCUCGGAAGACGCGCUCGAACUCGGGAGGGCCAGAGCUCUCUGCAAAGCUUUACACUUGGGCUGUCAAGAUGGCUUAGCUAGUCUUCCACCGCAUCUGAUGACAUGUUAUAAUCCCUGGGACCCACUUGGGGAAGCCAACGAGUUAUCUUCUAGUCUCCACAGGCAUGCUGUGGCAUACACCUACUAACCAACAUCCACAUACAUACAUUUUUAAAAAUGUAGUGAGAAAAAUUCAAAGCUGUGCUAUCCAAGUUGAACUCCUACAUCGGCAGGGCCUCUUUUCCCCUCUAAAGGAGCCCCUGAAAUAGAAACACCACUGCUUCCUUUGAGAGACUUAUCUUGUAGGCCCAAUCCCAGGUUGAACAGCUCAGCUAGAAUCACAUCAGUGAAAAAGUCCUUCCUCUGUAUAGAAAUAAAGAAGAACACUACCCGCUCUAAAGUUUAAACUCACAAGACCCUCACAUCAAGGUUUAAUAUGGUAACAUCAACCUGACAUGGCAAAUCUAUCUGGUCAGGGUUUCACACUCAAAGGACUUACUGACAAGUCAGACUCAAGUUGCUUUUUAAAGCUAAGCUUGGUGGUGUAUAUCUUUAAUCUCAGCACUUGGGAAGUAGGAACAAGCAGAUCUCUGAAUUUGAGGCCAGCCUGGUCUAUAGAGCAAGUUCCAGAACAGCCAGGAUGACACACAUACACAAACACAGUGUACCAAUAAAUAAAUAAAUAAAAGUUUUUAUUUUC